UCUGGUAUUGAUUGGUGCUUGCAUCAUGAUUUACAUUUGAGUGAGUGGCGAACUGGUGAGUAACACGUGGGAAACCUGCCCAGAAGCGGGGGAUAACACCUGGAAACAGAUGCUAAUACCGCAUAACAACUUGGACCGCAUGGUCCGAGUUUGAAAGAUGGCUUCGGCUAUCACUUUUGGAUGGUCCCGCGGCGUAUUAGCUAGAUGGUGGGGUAACGGCUCACCAUGGCAAUGAUAC
This 238-nucleotide ribosomal RNA is filed under the name Lactiplantibacillus plantarum. RNAcentral describes it as "Lactobacillus plantarum partial 16S ribosomal RNA". The stretch from base 50 to 238 matches the Rfam family "Bacterial small subunit ribosomal RNA", at positions 100 to 282 of the family's 1533-position model. Lineage: Bacteria; Bacillati; Bacillota; Bacilli; Lactobacillales; Lactobacillaceae. The record is from RNAcentral.